CGACAGGUGCUGCAUGGCUGUCGUCAGCUCGUGUCGUGAGAUGUGGGUUAAGUCCCGCAACGAGCGCAACCCUUGCCUUUAGUUGCCAGCAGUUCGGCUGGGCACUCUAAAGGGACUGCCGGUGGUUAAACCGGAGGAAGGUGGGGAUGACGUCAAGUCCUCAUGGCCUUUAUGACCAGGGCUACACACGUACUACAAUGGCCGAUACAAAGGGCAGCGACACUGCGAGGUGAAGCCAAUCCCGUAAAAUCGGUCUCAGUCCGGAUUGGAGUCUGCAACUCGACUCCAUGAAGUUGGAAUCGCUAGUAAUCGUGGAUCAGCAUGCCACGGUGAAUACGUUCCCGGGCCUU
Molecule: ribosomal RNA, 350 nt
Filed under: uncultured Desulfobulbus sp.
Lineage: Bacteria; Pseudomonadati; Thermodesulfobacteriota; Desulfobulbia; Desulfobulbales; Desulfobulbaceae
Description: bacterial SSU rRNA
Rfam family: Bacterial small subunit ribosomal RNA
Source: RNAcentral